Molecule: microRNA precursor, 86 nt
Filed under: Nicotiana sylvestris (wood tobacco)
Lineage: Eukaryota; Viridiplantae; Streptophyta; Magnoliopsida; Solanales; Solanaceae
Description: MIR6152 microRNA precursor family
Rfam family: MIR6152 microRNA precursor family
Source: Rfam by way of RNAcentral
UGGACAGAUUACUGUAUUCACGGCGUGAAACAGAGGAUUACACUGUUUUAAAACGAAAAGUGUAUCAAUUAACAUAAUAGACUACU